ACUAAACAGCUAGCUUAAACAGUAUAAUUGACUAAACAACAUUAACAAAUUUUAUAUAAAUUUAUACACUAAACUAAAUCAUUUUCCCGCCCUAGUAUGUGAGACAGAAAAGGCACCUAAUAAGCAAUAAAAAAGUACCGCAAGGGAAAGCUGAAAGAGAAAUGAAAUAAAUCAUUUAAGUUCAAUAAAGCAGAGAUUAUACCUCGUACCUUUUGCAUCAUGAUUUAGCCAGUUUACAUGAGCAAAGAGUCCUUUAGUUCAAAACCCCGAAACUAAGUGAGCUACCCCGGGACAGUCUAUUUAUAGGACCAACCCGUCUCUGUGGCAAAAGAGUGGGAAGAUCCCCGGGUAGAGGUGACAGACCUACCGAACUUAGUUAUAGCUGGUUGCCUGAAAAAUGGAUAGAAGUUCAGCCUCAUACUCCUCAAAUCACAAUAAACUUAUUCAAUUAGGAAACUGAGAAAAAUAUGAGAGUUAGUCAAGAGAGGUACAGCUCUCUUGAAAAAAGAUACAACUUUACCAGGAGGUUAAAGAUCAAAUUCAACAAGACUACCACUUAAGUGGGCCUAAAAGCAGCCAUCUAAGCAGAAAGCGUUAAAGCUCGAGUGGAAUUAAAUCUAUUAUACAGAUAAAAUAUCUUAAACCCCUAUUCAUAUCAGGCCACUCCAUGCCAACAUGGAAGCGAUACUGCUAAAAUGAGUAAUAAGAAGGAACCACCUUCUCCUUAGCCCAAGUGUAUGUUAGAUCGGACUAACCACUAAUAAUUAACGAACCCAAACAAAGAGGGUACUGUGACAAAAAAAACAAUCAAGAAAAAACCACAAACCUACUUGAUCGUUAACCCCACACUGGAGGGCACAUUAAAGGAAAGACUAAAAGAAGAGGAAGGAACUCGGCAAACACAAGCCUCGCCUGUUUACCAAAAACAUCACCUCCUGCAAAUCACUAUGUAUAGGAGGCCUUACCUGCCCAGUGACUACAAGUUAAACGGCCGCGGUAUUUUGACCGUGCAAAGGUAGCGUAAUCACUUGUCUUUUAAAUGAAGACCUGUAUGAAUGGUUAAACGAGGGCUUAACUGUCUCCCCCUUCAGGUCAAUGAAAUUGAUCUCUCCGUGCAGAAGCGGACAUAUAAAUACAAGACGAGAAGACCCUUUGGAGCUUAAGAUACAAGAUCACCUAUGUCAAGAGACAAAAAACUAAACCAAAUAGAAUAUUGAUCCUUAUCUUCGGUUGGGGCGACCACGGGAGACAAUAAAGCUCCCACGAGGACUGGGGAAAAAUACCCUAAAACUAAGAGAGACAUCUCUAAGUCACAGAACAUCUGACCAAAAGAUCCGGCCACAAUGCCGAUCAACGGACCAAGUUACCCUAGGGAUAACAGCGCAAUCCUCUUUAAGAGUUCAUAUCGACAAGGGGGUUUACGACCUCGAUGUUGGAUCAGGACAUCCUAAUGGUGCAGCCGCUAUUAAGGGUUCGUUUGUUCAACGAUUAAAGUCCUACGUGAUCUGAGUUCAGACCGGAGCAAUCCAGGUCAGUUUCUAUCUGUAGUGCUAUUUUUCCUAGUACGAAAGGACCGGAAAAAUGGGGCCCCUAUUUAAAAUACGCCCCCACCUAACCUAAUGAAAUCAACUAAAUUAGAUAAAAGGAAAGCACCACAAAAAACUCAAGAUAAGAUUACUAAGG
This 1683-nucleotide ribosomal RNA is filed under the name Henonemus punctatus. RNAcentral's name for it is "partial 16S ribosomal RNA". It matches the Rfam family "Bacterial large subunit ribosomal RNA". Lineage: Eukaryota; Metazoa; Chordata; Actinopteri; Siluriformes; Trichomycteridae. The record is from RNAcentral.